RNAcentral lists this ribosomal RNA (329 nucleotides) under Clostridioides difficile. RNAcentral describes it as "bacterial SSU rRNA". It matches the Rfam family "Bacterial small subunit ribosomal RNA", at positions 1 to 339 of the family's 1533-position model. The record is from RNAcentral. Lineage: Bacteria; Bacillati; Bacillota; Clostridia; Peptostreptococcales; Peptostreptococcaceae.
UUAUUUGAGAGUUUGAUCCUGGCUCAGGAUGAACGCUGGCGGCGUGCCUAACACAUGCAAGUUGAGCGAUUUACUUCGGUAAAGAGCGGCGGACGGGUGAGUAACGCGUGGGUAACCUACCCUGUACACACGGAUAACAUACCGAAAGGUAUGCUAAUACGGGAUAAUAUAUUUGAGAGGCAUCUCUUGAAUAUCAAAGGUGAGCCGGUACAGGAUGGACCCGCGUCUGAUUAGCUAGUUGGUAAGGUAACGGCUUACCAAGGCGACGAUCAGUAGCCGACCUGAGAGGGUGAUCGGCCACAUUGGAACUGAGACACGGUCCAAACUCC